ACCAAAGAAUACAAGAAGAAGGUGCAAAAUACUGCACCCAGAACCCAGAAAAAAAAGAAAAGAAAAACAGAAACCCAACAACAAGAAAAUCCCUUACAAAAAUCAAAGAAAAAUAAAAAAGAACCCUAACAACAGAUUAAGGAGGUAUGAUGAAGAAGUGAUCCCAUCCAGCAAUGACAAGAGAAGUGUUAAUACCAGCGAAGCACGAGGCAUCUUUAGCCCAAUGUUAGUGUUAAUACCCUUCGUUCUUCUUUCUUCUUCGUCCCCAAAUCACACAGAAACUCCAAUAUAGAAAUGGAUGUUGUUGUAAGAGAGAAUUAGAGAGCGGAAUCGAGAAGAACCAGGGAUUGACAAUGGUUUUUCUCAGAAGAGGGUUAUGAAGGGAGAAGAUCAAAUUCCGUGCAACUCAGAUGAAGAACCAGAGAUGAGGAACGAGUUCAAGUUAGGGUGCUUGGAAUUGAGAAGGGAUUGAUGGUUCGAUUUGUGAGGAAUCUGCAAAGUAGAAGAGAUUUGAGCAGAUGGGUCCAAUUCAGAAAGAGGAAAUUAGGGAUUGAAUUUGUUUAGGAUUUGUUGUUUAACCAAGGAAAAAGGUUUUUUCUGUGAGAAGAGAUGGAGAAUUCGAUUGAUGCUGUCAUUGAUCUUUGAUAAAGAGAUAGUGAGAGGGGGUUUGAUUCUAAUGACGGGGAUUAAACAAUUGUGAAGAUGACUCUGCUAAUGUUAGGGUUUUGAGAUUGAAGAGAUGAUGCAACUGAUGAAUGGGUUUUGCAGUCGGUGAUGUGACUGAAGCUGAGACCGGCUAGAAACUGGAAUGGUGUUGAUGGGAUUCAAUUUUGUGGAAUACAAUUUCAAAUUGAAUCCAUGGAUAAGAAUUCAAUAUAUGGUUAAGUGGUGGUCUACUGUAUGUAGAUUUUGGCUAUGGAUUCCAUGGAUACAUCACCGAAAAUGGCACCAGUAAUGAUGUGUUUGUAGGUAGCUCUCCCGUAGAUAUGUACGGCAAAUUUGGGUUGCCAGAGAUGACGUAAGCUUGUUUACGGACAUGCCAGAGAGAAACUUGGUUUCUUGGAAUUCGAUGAUUUCCUGCUGCAACAGAAAUAACCUUCCCGAACUGUCCAUUGAUCUUUUCCCUCAGAUUAUGCACCACAGACCGAUGCCAAAUUCCGUUUCCAUCACAAGUUUACUAGUUUCGGUUUCCUCACUGGCUGCAUUGCAGAAAGGUAAAACUGUACAUGCAUAUUUAAUGAAACUUGAGAUUCAGUUAGAUGUUCAGGUGGAAACCUUCUAUGUCAGACUUGGUUUUAGUUGUGUUUUGGAUUCAAUUGGGCUUGAGUUAUGAACUUUUAAGUUUGAAUUCUUGGAUCUUAUUAGAUUAGGGUUGAUUGAUUCAGGUGAUGUAGAGUCAGGGUUUCAUUCAAUUAAUUCAACUGAAUUUCAAUUAGGGUUUAAUGCAAAUAUGAUUAAUCUGGCGUUCUUACUAAAGACUUCAUGAAGGUGCUGAUUCAUGAGUUCAUACCAAUGGAAAGUGAUCACCAUUCCGACUUGCAGAUUCUAACUUACUGGAUGAUAAUGCAAGUUGAUAAUCCGACCUCGAUACUGAGAAUCCCUUAUGUGCACCGUUAACCGGUAUCCCAGAUCAAACUUAAAGAAAACAACAUUUAAGGGCGAGUCAAUUUCUUCGCUUCUUAGGAAUGGUUCCCGGUACAUUUCACUAGAGAUCAACUUUGAACCAAAAAUGCAUUUAUUGUCUUUCUGUACAGUUGUUUGGAUAACUUAGUAAUAACCUCAGUUCUAUUACAUGAGGUGACAUAUGAGGUGGGUCGUUGAUACCAAAACCGUAUACUUUUUUUCUGUUGUAUUUUAUGAGUUGGGUGGUCAUAUGAGUGACACCGAAGUGUUUGUAUUACUUUAUACUCCAAAAAUCUCUUUUUCUGCAAUGGAUAUGCACGAGAUGUAAUAACUUGUUGUCUUGGUUAGUAAUUGAUGGAACUGGAAAAUUUCUAUGAGAAUAAAGCGUAGUAAGCCACUUGAAGAAUGUUGGGAUUUGAUGUUGAGAUCUUUAAAACCGGUGAAACUGAUUAGUGUACAUAAAAUGACUUCACAAGUAGUCCCUUGUAAGACACCUCCUCCUCCUGAACUUCCGUCUGACAAAAAGAGAGAUGAUUUGGGAAGGGUAAGUAUUUGGCCGAGCCAAUUCAUAACAAUACUUUCUAACUCGGUUGCUGCUGGUGAAGAAAUCCAAUUGAAGCCUACAACAUUAAAUCCAGUACUAAGUAUUUCACCAAGGAACUCAGCAAGGAACCACUUGAAGGAAAAUAAGCGAAGUAAUUUGGACUAUGCCAAUGAGUAAGACCAGAGAUGAUAUCAUUGGUUACAUCUUGAAGAAUGGUUUCAAUGGAUCCAGAGUUGUUUGGAGAUGAUUCGGGUAAUCGUUUACGCAAGUAUCUAGGCUCAACUUGACUCCUAACAGGAUAACUCUCAACAUUUUUGCAGUAAUCAGCAAGGAAAUCAAUGAUCAUAUGACCUUGCCUUCUGAAAUCAUCCGGCUCAAGUGGGUUUUGUGAACAUAUUGACAUGCUUUCAAGGUUGUAGGAAUUACCAAUAGGUACUAUUAUGGUAGUCUUAGUUAAUGGCAGGUCCACCCACUAAAGCCCAGUAACCAGAGGUCCAUAAUAAAAGGAAAAAGAGAAAAUUGGACCAAAUUUUUUAUCCUCUGGUCCGGUACACGUGCGGGACCGGUAAUGUGUAAUUUCGAAUUCCCAAAUUAACCUUCCACCUCUAGAUAUUUAAUCUCCUGGUUCUUAUCGUCACCUUCUCUUUCAAUUUUUGGUUUUGCUCCAAAGAAGCUUUCACGCUGGAGAUCUUUUUGAUUUCGUUAAUUGAGUCGCCAAUUCGAUCCCAAAGCUAUCGUUUUGUAUAUUAUAGAAGAACUCCUCCGAUGAAGAUUUUUGCAAGAUAUAUAGCUGAUUGUUGUGUAUGAACCAACAAUACGUAUAUCCCGUACUGACAGAAACCUAGUCUACUUUUAAGAAGAAGAAGAAGAAGAAGAACAAGAUGGUGCAUCGUUAUGAUUUACGAGGAGAAUAUUUGUUUUCUGUUUCCAGUACUGGAAUUGGAUAUGGAGAUGAUCUGGAGCUGCAGUUCGG
Molecule: long non-coding RNA, 3140 nt
Organism: Papaver somniferum (opium poppy)
Lineage: Eukaryota; Viridiplantae; Streptophyta; Magnoliopsida; Ranunculales; Papaveraceae
Exons: 5
Source: RefSeq, a predicted model, not a curated record